CAAAGUUGGAUUGGUUUUCAUUCAUUUUUUCUUUGAAUCCCAACGACUAUAAAAAUCAAAGACAAUUAACAUAAUGCCCAAAGUGCCCAAAAAGUACUUGAGGGCCUCCAAGUGGUACUCGAGACCGUGGACCUGGAAGUAAGCGCCCGUGCUGCGUUGACGUCACCAAAGACAAUGUGAGUGCUGACGUGGUGGGGCAAACAUAUCGUGAGCAGGCUGCAAGGCAUCACUGUGUGAAGGCUAUAAUUUUUGACACAAAAAAUGGAAAACAACUUUGUGCUGAUCCAGACGCUCAGUGGGUCAAAGAUCUCACUGCCAACAUGAGGAAGGUGUGAAGCCUGUCUGCUGCAUCAGUAUUUCCAGUAUUUCCAUCACCAUUAAAGGCUUAUUCAAACCAGAGCGCUUUCUCAGCCUGACUGUCUUAAAACUUUCUUUUUUGCAUUUGUAGAUUAAUUUUUACUCUUACCUGUGGAGUAACCCUGUAUUUUAUUUAUGCUGUUGAGUUCAUUGUUU
This is a long non-coding RNA of Oreochromis aureus, 513 nucleotides long. RefSeq lists it as uncharacterized. NCBI's taxonomy places the organism in Eukaryota, Metazoa, Chordata, Actinopteri, Cichliformes, Cichlidae. The record is from RefSeq and is a predicted model, not a curated record. The transcript is spliced from 4 exons.